RNAcentral lists this ribosomal RNA (253 nucleotides) under uncultured bacterium. Its description in RNAcentral is "partial 16S ribosomal RNA". It matches the Rfam family "Bacterial small subunit ribosomal RNA", at positions 524 to 776 of the family's 1533-position model. The record is from RNAcentral.
GACAGAGGGUGCAAACGUUGUUCGGAAUUACUGGGCGUAAAGCGCGUGUAGGCUGCCCCGCAAGUCGGAUGUGAAAGCCCUGGGCUCAACCUAGGAAGUGCACUCGAAACUGCGGGGCUGGAGUCCUGGAGAGGAAGGCGGAAUUCUCGGUGUAGAGGUGAAAUUCGUAGAUAUCGAGAGGAACACCGGUGGCGAAGGCGGCCUUCUGGACAGUGACUGACGCUGAGACGCGAAAGCGUGGGGAGCAAACAGG